Molecule: ribosomal RNA, 496 nt
Filed under: uncultured bacterium
Lineage: Bacteria
Description: partial 16S ribosomal RNA
Rfam family: Bacterial small subunit ribosomal RNA
Source: RNAcentral
AUGAACGCUGGCGGCGUGCCUAAUACAUGCAAGUCGAGCGAACAGACGAGGAGCUUGCUCCUCUGACGUUAGCGGCGGACGGGUGAGUAACACGUGGAUAACCUACCUAUAAGACUGGGAUAACUUCGGGAAACCGGAGCUAAUACCGGAUAAUAUAUUGAACCGCAUGGUUCAAUAGUGAAAGACGGUUUUGCUGUCACUUAUAGAUGGAUCCGCGCCGCAUUAGCUAGUUGGUAAGGUAACGGCUUACCAAGGCAACGAUGCGUAGCCGACCUGAGAGGGUGAUCGGCCACACUGGAACUGAGACACGGUCCAGACUCCUACGGGAGGCAGCAGUAGGGAAUCUUCCGCAAUGGGCGAAAGCUUGACAGAGCAACGCCGCGUGAGUGAUGAAGGUCUUCGGAUCGUAAAACUCUGUUAUUAGGGAAGAACAAAUGUGUAAGUAACUAUGCACGUCUUGACGGUACCUAAUCAGAAAGCCACGGCUAACUACGUG